GGUGAGUAACGCGUGGGUAACCUGCCCUGUACAGGGGGAUAACAGUCAGAAAUGACUGCUAAUACCGCAUAAGACCACAGCACCGCAUGGUGCAGGGGUAAAAACUCCGGUGGUACAGGAUGGACCCGCGUCUGAUUAGCUGGUUGGUGAGGUAACGGCUCACCAAGGCGACGAUCAGUAGCCGGCUUGAGAGAGUGAACGGCCACAUUGGGACUGAGACACGGCCCAAACUCCUACGGGAGGCAGCAGUGGGGAAUAUUGCACAAUGGGGGAAACCCUGAUGCAGCGACGCCGCGUGAGUGAAGAAGUAUCUCGGUAUGUAAAGCUCUAUCAGCAGGGAAGAAAAUGACGGUACCUGACUAAGAAGCCCCGGCUAACUACGUGCCAGCAGCCGCGGUAAUACGUAGGGGGCAAGCGUUAUCCGGAAUUACUGGGUGUAAAGGGUGCGUAGGUGGUAUGGCAAGUCAGAAGUGAAAACCCAGGGCUUAACUCUGGGACUGCUUUUGAAACUGUCAGACUAGAGUGCAGGAGAGGUAAGCGGAAUUCCUAGUGUAGCGGUGAAAUGCGUAGAUAUUAGGAGCACAUCAGUGGCGAA
RNAcentral lists this ribosomal RNA (595 nucleotides) under uncultured Lachnospiraceae bacterium. Its description in RNAcentral is "bacterial SSU rRNA". It matches the Rfam family "Bacterial small subunit ribosomal RNA", at positions 105 to 719 of the family's 1533-position model. The record is from RNAcentral. Lineage: Bacteria; Bacillati; Bacillota; Clostridia; Lachnospirales; Lachnospiraceae.